UACGUAGGUGGCGAGCGUUGUCCGGAUUUACUGGGCGUAAAGGAUGCGUAGGUGGAAACUUAAGUGGGAUGUGAAAUCCCCGGGCUCAACCAGGGAACUGCAUUCCAAACUGGGUUACUUGAGUGCAGGAGAGGAAAGCGGAAUUCCUAGUGUAGCGGUGAAAUGCGUAGAUAUUAGGAAGAACACCAGUGGCGAAGGCGGCUUUCUGGACUGUAACUGACACUGAGGCAUGAAAGCGUGGGGAGCAAACAGGAUAGAUACCCUGGUAGUCCCU
Molecule: ribosomal RNA, 274 nt
Filed under: uncultured prokaryote
Description: partial 16S ribosomal RNA
Rfam family: Bacterial small subunit ribosomal RNA
Source: RNAcentral